GGAUGAUUUGGCUGAUCUGGUGGCAAGUGUCCCCUUCCUCCCUCACUGCUCCACUUGCAUCCCUAUUGAAGUUAUGCUUUCUACUGAAGAGAACACUCGCCCCUGAUAGAGGAGGACCAUCUCCUCAGUCAAGGGUAGAGGAGUAACUGUGUACCCCUUGCUAGAACCUUCAAAGAAGUUCUCACUAAAAAAAUAUGGCAUGGGCAUCUGCUACCCUCCGAGUGAGCAACUGAGAAAGCCAUGUUUGUCCAAUCCUGUUAACCAAAAAAAAGGCAUUUGGAUGUACAAUUGCCAACUUU
RNAcentral lists this small nuclear RNA (299 nucleotides) under Chinchilla lanigera (long-tailed chinchilla). RNAcentral describes it as "7SK RNA (ENSCLAG00000021923.1)". It matches the Rfam family "7SK RNA", at positions 51 to 331 of the family's 331-position model. Rfam says of the family: 7SK was discovered as an abundant small nuclear RNA in the mid-70s but a possible function has only recently been suggested. Two independent studies have found that 7SK RNA binds the CDK9/cyclin T complex (known as elongation factor P-TEFb). P-TEFb activates transcription by phosphorylating the C-terminal domain of RNA polymerase II. Lineage: Eukaryota; Metazoa; Chordata; Mammalia; Rodentia; Chinchillidae. The record is from Rfam by way of RNAcentral.